This is a long non-coding RNA of Zingiber officinale, 455 nucleotides long. RefSeq lists it as uncharacterized. The record is from RefSeq and is a predicted model, not a curated record. The transcript is spliced from 2 exons. Lineage: Eukaryota; Viridiplantae; Streptophyta; Magnoliopsida; Zingiberales; Zingiberaceae.
CGGUAGUGGUAUUUGCCACUGCUAAGUCUGAUUAUCUGAUAGUCAGGAUUCUCUUUGGUAGCAAAAAGAAACCUCAGAGACAAGUCUCAGCACCGUCUGCUUCCAAAACCAAGUCAGCCGAAACUGUGGGGAAUGAUUCUCCAGGCACUAAUGAAGAGAAAGAAGAGAAUGUAAAAGUUGAUGAUGCAUCUGCUCCUCGAGCUCGGAAAUCCAGAAGGAGACCUGAGGUAGCAAGCUCUUCAAAUUUUGUGAGAUGUUCACAGUUCAGAUAUGCGUUGCGUUGUUAGGCUUUCCAGUGGCGGCUGAAGCGCACAUUUGCCUCCUUCCAAUUAAAAGUUAGCUUUACAAUUUGUCCUUGAAUUUGUGGACUAGAAAUCUGUGUCUGUGGCUUAUAUAAUUUCUUGUAAUUUGCUUCUUUGAACAAUUAUUUUUAGAGUUAACAUAGCUUCUUGUAA